UGGGGAAUAUUGUACAAUGGGCGCAAGCCUGAUGCAGCCAUGCCGCGUGUAUGAAGAAGGCCUUCGGGUUGUAAAGUACUUUCAGCGGGGAGGAAGGGAGUAAAGUUAAUACCUUUGCUCAUUGACGUUACCCGCAGAAGAAGCACCGGCUAACUCCGUGCCAGCAGCCGCGGUAAUACGGAGGGUGCAAGCGUUAAUCGGAAUUACUGGGCGUAAAGCGCACGCAGGCGGUUUGUUAAGUCAGAUGUGAAAUCCCCGGGCUCAACCUGGGAACUGCAUCUGAUACUGGCAAGCUUGAGUCUCGUAGAGGGGGGUAGAAUUCCAGGUGUAGCGGUGAAAUGCGUAGAGAUCUGGAGGAAUACCGGUGGCGAAGGCGGCCCCCUAGACGAAGACUGACGCUCAGGUGCGAAAGCGUGGGGAGCAAACAGG
Molecule: ribosomal RNA, 429 nt
Filed under: Chloroflexota bacterium
Lineage: Bacteria; Bacillati; Chloroflexota
Description: Chloroflexi bacterium partial 16S ribosomal RNA
Rfam family: Bacterial small subunit ribosomal RNA
Source: RNAcentral